GCGAGAGUGGCGGAAUAGGUAGACGCGAAGGUCUCAAACACCUUUGGCAUUGCCGUGUGGGUUCGAUUCCCAUCUCUCGCACCA
This 84-nucleotide transfer RNA is filed under the name bacterium. RNAcentral's name for it is "tRNA-Leu". It matches the Rfam family "tRNA". Rfam says of the family: Transfer RNA (tRNA) molecules are approximately 80 nucleotides in length. Their secondary structure includes four short double-helical elements and three loops (D, anti-codon, and T loops). Further hydrogen bonds mediate the characteristic L-shaped molecular structure. tRNAs have two regions of fundamental functional importance: the anti-codon, which is responsible for specific mRNA codon recognition, and the 3' end, to which the tRNAs corresponding amino acid is attached (by aminoacyl-tRNA synthetases). tRNAs cope with the degeneracy of the genetic code in two manners: having more than one tRNA (with a specific anti-codon) for a particular amino acid; and 'wobble' base-pairing, i.e. permitting non-standard base-pairing at the 3rd anti-codon position. The record is from RNAcentral. RNAcentral also lists the same sequence under 2 other names.